RNAcentral lists this ribosomal RNA (460 nucleotides) under uncultured bacterium. RNAcentral describes it as "partial 16S ribosomal RNA". It matches the Rfam family "Bacterial small subunit ribosomal RNA", at positions 338 to 795 of the family's 1533-position model. The record is from RNAcentral.
CCUACGGGAGGCAGCAGUGAGGAAUAUUGGUCAAUGGGCGAGAGCCUGAACCAGCCAAGUCGCGUGAGGGAAGACGGUCCUACGGAUUGUAAACCUCUUUUGUCAGGGAGCAAGGAGCGCCACGAGUGGUGCGGCGAGAGUACCUGAAGAAAAAGCAUCGGCUAACUCCGUGCCAGCAGCCGCGGUAAUACGGAGGAUGCGAGCGUUAUCCGGAUUUAUUGGGUUUAAAGGGAGCGUAGGUGGAUUGUUAAGUCAGUUGUGAAAGUUUGCGGCUCAACCGUAAAAUUGCAGUUGAAACUGGCAGUCUUGAGUACAGUAGAGGUGGGCGGAAUUCGUGGUGUAGCGGUGAAAUGCUUAGAUAUCACGAAGAACUCCGAUUGCGAAGGCAGCUCACUGGACUGCAACUGACACUGAUGCUCGAAAGUGUGGGUAUCAAACAGGAUUAGAUACCCGGGUAGUC